Long non-coding RNA from Carya illinoinensis, 2631 nucleotides. RefSeq lists it as uncharacterized. NCBI's taxonomy places the organism in Eukaryota, Viridiplantae, Streptophyta, Magnoliopsida, Fagales, Juglandaceae. The record is from RefSeq and is a predicted model, not a curated record. The transcript is spliced from 3 exons.
UGCAUAAAAUGAUGAAUAUGUGUAAAUUAGAGCUGCAUUGGUCUCGACAAACGAAAAAUGGGGAGUUUUGAGCUACAGGGUUUCUAUAUUUUCCUUCAAAUUUGAAGGGCUACUAUACACUCAUCAACCGAUUAUUUUACUACAUUUUAAUUCUCAAUCGCUAUCCUUUUAUUUUCCCUCUCUCCUUUUCCUCCCCCCGCCUUUUCUCCCUUUCUGGUUCUUUGCAGUGCACCCUAACCUUCUGGCCUCUUUUCACUUCUUCACACUGAAAUCAAAUUGGUUGUAGAAAACCAGUUUCUAUUCAUCAAAAUUUUGCGCGAGCUUCUUCUCCGAAGGCAUCCCGUGUGUUUUCUCUCCCCCUUUCUCUCGUUCUCUCGUUUUCAAGCUCUGCACCGCUUCUUCCUCCCUACGAUUCUUCACGUAGAAUCAGAGUGAGGCUUUUCACUAGGUUGGUCUCCUCUCAGGUUCGUGGGACCUCAACUCAGAUUUCAGGUUCUUCUCAUGCCAAAGAUUUCAGGCUUUUGGGCAUCUUGAAUCUGUUUUUAACGAGUAUUUUCAAUAGAUAUCUAGCAUUCGAUUGUUUUUAACGAGUAUUUCGCUAGGUUGUUUUUUUCUUCUUUUCAAUUUUACUCGCGUGUCAUGUGCAUAACUGGAUACUUUUCAAUAAAUAUCUAGCAUUUGAUUGUAAUCCUUGUAGUCUCACUGCACUUACAUUUGAUCUGUUUGGUUGUCAAGAAUAUGGAAGAAGUGAAAAGAAAUGAAAUGUGAUUUAGAGCCCUGUUUUUAAAAAAUUGGCUUUCACAGGAUUAAAUUGCCACUAUAACUAGUGCAUAUAGUGGUAUGAGGCUCAGUUAAGUGAAGAUUUUACUUUGUUGAGUUCCCAACAUCAACACGUCUUAAGUUCAUUUCUUUUUUUGUUUCACAUUAUCUCAGUAUUCUUAUAUUAAUGAAUAGCAUAAUAUAAACUACCCUCAGAUCCAAGCAUGUUGCAUGUUUGAUUUCUGUUCUCAGAGAAUUGACUCUCUCCCUGAUGCCAUUCUUUAGCAUAUCUUGUCGCAGAUAAACACUUAGAUAUUCUUGCCCCGCUGUAAAUGUCCUUGUUUGGGAUCUUAUGGGCUGAGUGUUCAUCAAUAAGAUAUCCUGCUGUAGCUACUUCAAUAACAUUUGUGUUUAUAUUUGUACAUAAUCUGAAUGUUGGAAAUGUUAUUUAUUAGCUCAUUAUAUUUCUGCAUUGAAUCUAAGAUUCUGGAGAUAUGCAGUAGACUGCUAGUUUGGGUUUCAAAAUGGUCAAUUUUUACCUGCAAUAUUUAAUUUGAAUGUUGGCUAUAUUAAGAAAUAUAUAUUGAUGGUCCGGUUAAUUUUCUCUCAAGGUAUUGAUGCCUUUUGGCUAUUAAUCUGGUAACAAUAUUGGCUAUUAACAAUAAUUUAAGUAUCAAAUUAAAUUAUUAAUGUAUAUAUGGUUAGUGUAAUUGCAAAAUAUGAACAAAAUUGAAGAUAGCUUUGAUGAAGCCAUGCUCUUAGUGACAGAAAGAUAGCUCCAGCUCAAGAAACCCAUCAAUGUUUGAUUCAUUAUGAUUUUUGACAAUUUCUUUUAAAGGCUUAGCCAUUUUAGCUCAUUGUUCCGUGAGAUAGCCGUUUCAACUCAUUAUUGUGUGUUAACUUAUGCAGGGUUCAUUUCUUCGGUUUCUUCUUCAAUAAAUGUGUCAUUACACUGUGUAAUUAUCAGCAAGCUUUACCUUUGGUUCAGUCAGACGCUAUGCAUUAAAAAUUCAUACUAAUUCUACUAGUUUUUGUGUGAUAUUGGAGAGAUUCCAAAUAAAAGAGAUGUGUUUUUUAUGGAACUUUGGGCUCAAUUACAUAUGCAGGGUUAGUUCAAGUCAUAAUCAUUGGGCUGUUGUAUCUUGAAAGGGACAAGCCAAGAUGAGGUAUGCUGCACUAGUGUUUAAACAUUAUUUACUACAGAAGGCUUGAAUCUCCUUAAAGAAAGCGAGAUUUCCGUGCUCAGUCCAACCGGCUUUGUUCUUUUUUGUUAUUUGUUAUUUCAGUUUCUUGUAAUUUAUUUUGUUAUUGUUAUUUUUCAACAACAAUUUUAAGGAGAUUCAAAUGGACUUUACAGUUUAAAAAUCUAAUGAUAGCAUCGGAGAUCUCAACAAGCCAUUUCGCUUCAAGGGAGCCCAUUUCAAGCUGUGAAAGUGCAAAGUGCUCUUUUAUCUUUGACUACUCAAUGUCUCCUAUGUGCUCAUGGAGAAGAAUCCAAACAAGACCGACAAAAUGACAGAAGAGCAACACAAGGCUCAUCAAGAUAAGAGUUUGGUCCAAAAUCAAGCUUUGCUUAUGAUGAUGAGAUUGAGGAGUAACUCAAGGCUUAUGGUAUGCAUGAAUGAUUCACUUGCAAAAUGGUGGAUUAAAAUGGAAUGUAAGUAGUAGCUUUGGAAACCCAAGGAUGAGUGGAGGUUUUUGUUGCUGCCUUCUCAACAAAUUAUGGAAUUGGUUUUAAUAGUUUUAACAGCAAUUGUAUAGAAAAAUAUUUUUAUUUUGCAGUUUUUCUCUUGAUAGUUUUGUACAAAAUACAGUAUUUUGCACACUCCUUAGUAAUAAAAUGAUAUUUAUUUGUAUGGAAAACAAACCAAA